GUGCUGGGCAAGGAGCAGCCUGAGCAGAGAGGAGCAGACAGGCACAGAGCUUGUCCCUUUGUGGAAGGGAGAAUUUUAUCUCUAAGGAUCUGGGCAGUCUGCAAGUGCUGGAAUGUCAAAAACCACUUCCAAAGUCAGAGGAACAGCAAGUACAGGAGAGCUGGCUGGAAAGGCAGAACUGUGUUGAAGUAGGCCCAACUCAGUCACUUAAAAAUUCAUUGAAGCCUACAGUUAUCUAAUUUUGCAAAGAACAGAAUCUCCUGGUUCAGCUGACAUCUCAGUACUUUAUCUUCAUCUUGUGCCUCAGCCCUACUGACUGACUGAUGAUUUACAGCCUUAUCAGCUGGAUUUUAAAUUCUUCUCACGUCCCAGGAAUUUCAGUAUUCCCACAUGACUGCUCUGCAUUAGUGCUGUAAUAAUGCUGCAAUUUGCUAUUAAUUACCAUCCUGCACUGUUUCAGUGAUGUGAAAGAUUUUAGUUUAGACUGUAACUGGUCAUCCUUUUUAAUUACCAAGUAGGGAUGGUGUAUAUUUCCCUAUUGGUUUUGUUUUCUGAUUCUGUAUUGAAAUAUGCUCAAAGAUUAUCAACAGAAUGCUUAGUGAGAGAUUUUGUCUUUUAAAGACAACAGAGAGAAUGAAGGGAUGAAUAGGAAACAGCCUAAAACAGUAAGAGCUGCAUAAUUUAUUAAUAUUUCUCACUCCUGAUACAUUGGUUCCAUGUUAAAAACAAAGCCUGUCUGUCCAGGACAGAAUUUUGAAGGCCAGGGCUUUGGGGAUAUAACAAUUUUCCAAGCUCUGCACACAAACCUGUAUCUGCCUGCCAGGGUAUCACAAGUAGACUUGACUCAUAUUGAAUGAGUCUUAAAUAUCUAUUGGCAUUUUAGGUCAGCAACAACCUGGUUAGAAUAAUGACACUUUGAGUUAUCAAUAACUUUGGUACAGGCAGCAUGUAACAGCAGAGUGAGCAUGGUGCUUUGGUCUGAUUACCCUAAAAGAUUCUAUCUACUCCU
Long non-coding RNA from Zonotrichia leucophrys gambelii, 1009 nucleotides. RefSeq lists it as uncharacterized. Lineage: Eukaryota; Metazoa; Chordata; Aves; Passeriformes; Passerellidae. The transcript has 3 exons. The record is from RefSeq and is a predicted model, not a curated record.